UGGGGAAUAUUGCACAAUGGGCGGAAGCCUGAUGCAGCAACGCCGCGUGCGGGAUGACGGCCUUCGGGUUGUAAACCGCUUUCGCCUGUGACGAAGCGUGAGUGACGGUAAUGGGUAAAGAAGCACCGGCUAACUACGUGCCAGCAGCCGCGGUGAUACGUAGGGUGCGAGCGUUGUCCGGAUUUAUUGGGCGUAAAGGGCUCGUAGGUGGUUGAUCGCGUCGGAAGUGUAAUCUUGGGGCUUAACCCUGAGCGUGCUUUCGAUACGGGUUGACUUGAGGAAGGUAGGGGAGAAUGGAAUUCCUGGUGGAGCGGUGGAAUGCGCAGAUAUCAGGAGGAACACCAGUGGCGAARGCGGUUCUCUGGGCCUUUCCUGACGCUGAGGAGCGAAAGCGUGGGGAGCGAACAGGCUUAGAUACCCUGGUAGUCCACGCUGUAAACGGUGGGUACUAGGUGYGGGGUCCAUUCCACGGGUUCCGUGCCGUAGCUAACGCUUUAAGUACCCCGCCUGGGGAGUACGGCCGCAAGGCUAA
RNAcentral lists this ribosomal RNA (532 nucleotides) under uncultured Propionibacterium sp. RNAcentral describes it as "bacterial SSU rRNA". It matches the Rfam family "Bacterial small subunit ribosomal RNA", at positions 355 to 897 of the family's 1533-position model. Lineage: Bacteria; Bacillati; Actinomycetota; Actinomycetes; Propionibacteriales; Propionibacteriaceae. The record is from RNAcentral.